RNAcentral lists this long non-coding RNA (218 nucleotides) under Ananas comosus (pineapple). RNAcentral's name for it is "long non-coding RNA (ACOM_LNC025669)". Lineage: Eukaryota; Viridiplantae; Streptophyta; Magnoliopsida; Poales; Bromeliaceae. The record is from RNAcentral.
GAGAGUGGAUUUUGAUCCAUUAUUAUAACCGAUUGUCCCUAGAGCAAGUGGCAAAGGGCUUGGUGGUUGGUACCCGAGACCCAAGUUCGAAUCUUAGUUGAUUUACAUUUCUAGCUAAGUUUAUUUUUAAAUGAAAUAAACGAAACGGGUAGCGUGCUAUCUAUCUCUCAAAAAAAAAUAUUUUGCCACCAUAAACCUCGAAACUCCAAUCAAAUUUU